This 253-nucleotide ribosomal RNA is filed under the name uncultured bacterium. RNAcentral describes it as "partial 16S ribosomal RNA". It matches the Rfam family "Bacterial small subunit ribosomal RNA", at positions 524 to 776 of the family's 1533-position model. The record is from RNAcentral.
UACGUAGAGCGCAAGCGUUAUCCGGAAUUAUUGGGCGUAAAGAGCUCGUAGGCGGUUUGUCGCGUCUAUCGUGAAAGUCCGAGGCUCAACCUCGGAUCUGCGGUGGGUACGGGCAGACUUGAGUGAUGUAGGGGAGACUGGAAUUCCUGGUGUAGCGGUGAAAUGCGCAGAUAUCAGGAGGAACACCGAUGGCGAAGGCAGGUCUCUGGGCAUUAACUGACGCUGAGGAGCGAAAGCAUGGGGAGCGAACAGG